Molecule: long non-coding RNA, 379 nt
Filed under: Androctonus crassicauda
Lineage: Eukaryota; Metazoa; Arthropoda; Arachnida; Scorpiones; Buthidae
Source: RNAcentral
UUUCUAGAGCCUCUCUGAGUAAAGGGAGGAUAAAACAAGAAAGUUAGUAAUAAUGGACAAACAAGAGCACGAUGACUUCCUCUAUAAGUAUAUAAAAGACUCGAAUGCACAAGAGCUAAGCGGAGACUCAACAAAGAAGCUGGCAACUAAAUUAAAUCAACUAAUUAAAAAGAAAAGCUUUCCAGAAAUCUUUAAACAUAGAAAAGUAUUAUUAACCUCAUGCCCAAGACUGUUUAUCUAUAUAAAGAUACAUAAAACCCCUCUUGAAGCUAGACCCAUUGUUGAGAAAAGGAACUCCCCAUGUAUAAUCUGGAAGCAAAAAUAGCUAAAUGCGCCAACAGCAUACUAAAACAAUAUGAACAUACGACGAAUAGCACCG